AUUGAACGCUGGCGGCAGGCCUAACACAUGCAAGUCGGGCGAGCUGCGGACGGGUGAGUAAUGUAUGGGGAUCUGCCUGAUUGUGGGGGAUAACUACUGUGAACCGUAGCUAAUACAGCAUACCAUCAAAUGCACCAAUAUGGGAUUAGCGUGUGGGUAAGGUAACGGCUUACCUAGGCGACGAUCCCUAGCUGGUCUGAGAGGAUGAUCAGCCACACUGGGACUGAGACACGGCCCAGACUCCUACGGGAGGCAGCAGUGGGGAAUAUUGCACAAUGGGCGCAAGCCUGAUGCAGCCAUGCCGCGUGUAUGAAGAAGGCCUUCGGGUUGUAAAGUACUUUCAGUCUGGAGGCGUUACCGACAGAAGAAGCACCGGCUAACUCCGUGCCAGCAGCCGCGGUAAUAC
RNAcentral lists this ribosomal RNA (406 nucleotides) under uncultured bacterium. RNAcentral describes it as "partial 16S ribosomal RNA". It matches the Rfam family "Bacterial small subunit ribosomal RNA", at positions 30 to 526 of the family's 1533-position model. The record is from RNAcentral.